AUCAGAUUAAUAGUUUCGUGCGGCUUCACGUCAGAUACGAAAAGAUUGAGGAUGUGCCCCUUGCUGGGCUCCAGGAGCAACCAGGCGCCUAUAACGAGCACCAUGCAGCCAGCCAGCUACCAAAAAGAAAAAGAAUCGCACGAGAUAUAAUCUAAUCUGACGUUGAUCCAACGAUGCAAACAUUUAAAGGAUAAUUGUUUUGCUCUGGAAUACACAUAGAAGAAAUAUUUAUAGUUCAAGUACCAGCGCGUCUAAGUUGUCGGUACGUGUCGCUAUUUCUAGACUUAGUUUAUAAUGUUAUAAAGUAUAAGUGCAUGUUAUUUACCCAUAUUAAUAGAUUAAACGUAAAUAAC
Molecule: long non-coding RNA, 353 nt
Organism: Formica exsecta
Lineage: Eukaryota; Metazoa; Arthropoda; Insecta; Hymenoptera; Formicidae
Exons: 2
Source: RefSeq, a predicted model, not a curated record